CUUUAGCCAGACGUGGUGAAGCGAUAAGAACUGUGAACUAUAUACUGUAUAGUACAAACUGUGAACUGUGAAUUGAAUUGUGAAGUAUUCACGAGUUAGAGGGGAUCCUUACUGCUCUUAUUGAUACCGGCAGAAAUGGCAUCGCACGAUAAAACUAUUUUAAUAGGAUAUAAACUGAUAGGAAUGAAUAGGAAGUCAUGUGUAACAUU
Molecule: long non-coding RNA, 209 nt
Filed under: Carica papaya (papaya)
Lineage: Eukaryota; Viridiplantae; Streptophyta; Magnoliopsida; Brassicales; Caricaceae
Description: long non-coding RNA (CPAP_LNC008896)
Source: RNAcentral